RNAcentral lists this ribosomal RNA (253 nucleotides) under uncultured bacterium. RNAcentral's name for it is "partial 16S ribosomal RNA". It matches the Rfam family "Bacterial small subunit ribosomal RNA", at positions 524 to 776 of the family's 1533-position model. The record is from RNAcentral.
UACGGAGGGUGCAAGCGUUACCCGGAAUCACUGGGCGUAAAGGGCGUGUAGGCGGCAACUUAAGUCUGGCUUUAAAGACUGGGGCUCAACCCCAGGAGUGGGCUGGAUACUGAGAGGCUAGAUGUCUGGAGAGGUAAGUGGAAUUUUUGGUGUAGCGGUGGAAUGCGUAGAUACCAAAAGGAAUACCCAUGGCGAAGGCAGCUUACUGGACAGAACAUGACGCUGAGGCGCGAAAGUGUGGGGAGCAAACCGG